AUGCAGAUCUUCGUCAAGUUCAUCAAUGGCGAGACCAUAACUCUCAAAGAGGUCGCAAGAUCAGAUACGAUCUACAGCGUGAAGGCUAAGAUCGAAGACAAGGAGGGCAUCCCUGCAGGCCACCAGAGACUCAUAUUUGAGAAUGAGCAGCUGGUGGGCGGCCGCACCCUCAAGGACUACAACAUCAAGGAGAGGUCCACCCUUGACCUUAUCUUCCAAGGGAUGCAUAUCUUUGUGGAGACGCCCGGUGUGAUGACCAAGACGCUCGAGGUUGAGAAUGCAGAUACCAUAUACAGCGUGAAGGCGAAGCUGUUCGAUGAGACCGGAUAUGUCCCGGGAAUGCAGCGCAGCAUGUUUGCCGGGAGGGAGCUGGAGGAAGCCCGCACCUUGGCCGACUACGACGUCCAGAACGAUUCCACCGUUCGUCUUGCGCUGCGCCCCUGGAGGCUGAAGGACAGGAGGCACAUCUGGGUCAGGACGGCGACGGGCAGGACCAUCAUCAGGUACUGCGCCAUGUCCUCGGAGUCUGUCGGCGAUGUCAAGGACAAGAUCUUUGUCGAGCUGGGCAUCCCCACGGAGCAGCAGUGCCUUUCCUGGGGUGAAGGCGGGGCGGCGCUGGAGAACUGGUGCACCGUGGAGGAGACGGAGCGCUACCUCGUUCUGCGGCUCCGCCUUCCUUCCUGA
This 684-nucleotide ribosomal RNA is filed under the name Triticum aestivum (bread wheat). Its description in RNAcentral is "partial small subunit ribosomal RNA". Lineage: Eukaryota; Viridiplantae; Streptophyta; Magnoliopsida; Poales; Poaceae. The record is from RNAcentral.